Molecule: ribosomal RNA, 490 nt
Filed under: uncultured bacterium
Lineage: Bacteria
Description: bacterial SSU rRNA
Rfam family: Bacterial small subunit ribosomal RNA
Source: RNAcentral
GAUGAACGCUGGCGGCGUGCUUAACACAUGCAAGUCGAACGGUGAACGAGGGAGCUUGCUCCCUCCGGAUCAGUGGCGAACGGGUGAGUAACACGUGAGUAACCUGCCCCAGACUCUGGGAUAAGCGUUGGAAACGACGUCUAAUACCGGAUACGAGACGAGAAGGCAUCUUCAUCGUCUGGAAAGAAUUUCGGUCUGGGAUGGACUCGCGGCCUAUCAGGUAGUUGGUGAGGUAACGGCCCACCAAGCCUACGACGGGUAGCCGGCCUGAGAGGGUGACCGGCCACACUGGGACUGAGACACGGCCCAGACUCCUACGGGAGGCAGCAGUGGGGAAUAUUGCACAAUGGGCGCAAGCCUGAUGCAGCAACGCCGCGUGAGGGACGACGGCCUUCGGGUUGUAAACCUCUUUUAGCAGGGAAGAAGCGAAAGUGACGGUACCUGCAGAAAAAGCACCGGCUAACUACGUGCCAGCCGCCGCCGGUAACAC